AGGAGAAACAGCCCCAGUGGCGGGGCCAGCUCUGCAGCCCUGGAGUCAGCUCCCGCAGUAACCACAGAGCUCUCCAUAUGCAGGGCCUGGAGGCUCUGGGCGGGG
RNAcentral lists this microRNA precursor (105 nucleotides) under Canis lupus familiaris (dog). RNAcentral's name for it is "mir-8834 microRNA precursor family". It matches the Rfam family "mir-8834 microRNA precursor family". RNAcentral also lists the same sequence under 1 other name. The record is from Rfam by way of RNAcentral. Lineage: Eukaryota; Metazoa; Chordata; Mammalia; Carnivora; Canidae.